GCUGUGACGGUGACCGACUCUACUAUGAUGGCUGUGCCAUGAUUGCGAUGAAUGGGAGCAUCUUUGCCCAGGGAACCCAGUUCUCAUUGGAUGAUGUGGAGGUUCUCACUGCCACGCUGGACCUGGAGGACGUCAGGAGCUACAGGGCAGAGAUCUCAUCACGGAACCUGGAGGUGAGUGCUCUGGGAGGCGCCAGCUCAGACAGGCCUUUCAGGUGGCAUGGUAUGCUGUGGGCUUGGCCAAGGCCAUGGGGCCGGCAUGUGGAACCAUGCAGAGACAUGACAGCUUGUUCCCUUCCCCUGAUUCCUAGCCACCACUGGUCUGCUUUCUGCCUGUAACAGUGUGAACGUUUUCAGAGACACUACUGCACCACAGAUGCUGUUGUAGGCCUGGCCCCUCUAACUAAGCGAGCAUCCUUGGAGUCCACCAUGUGGAAGCAGAAUGGG
Molecule: long non-coding RNA, 446 nt
Filed under: Rattus norvegicus (Norway rat)
Lineage: Eukaryota; Metazoa; Chordata; Mammalia; Rodentia; Muridae
Description: long non-coding RNA NONRATT003387
Source: RNAcentral